GGGUCAGGAGGUUGGUCGUGCCACCGGUACGUACUGGUCUCACUGAUUCCUCCUUCCUGAAGAACCGUAAUGCCAUUAAUUUGGUGUUGCGGGGAAACAGGACUGUUACUUUGAAAAAAUUAGAGUGUUUAAAGCAAGCUAACGCUUGAAUACAUUAGCAUGGAAUAAUGAAAUAGGACGAUCGAUCCUAUUUUGUUGGUUUCUAGGAUUGACGCA
RNAcentral lists this ribosomal RNA (216 nucleotides) under Glomeromycotina sp. RNAcentral's name for it is "partial small subunit ribosomal RNA". The stretch from base 40 to 216 matches the Rfam family "Eukaryotic small subunit ribosomal RNA", at positions 686 to 864 of the family's 1831-position model. The record is from RNAcentral. Lineage: Eukaryota; Fungi; Glomeromycota.